RNAcentral lists this ribosomal RNA (1079 nucleotides) under uncultured organism. RNAcentral describes it as "bacterial SSU rRNA". It matches the Rfam family "Bacterial small subunit ribosomal RNA", at positions 98 to 1212 of the family's 1533-position model. The record is from RNAcentral.
GCGAACGGGUGAGUAACACGUAGGUGACUUGCCCCGAAGAUGGGGAUAACCUCUGGAAACGGGGGCUAAUACCCAAUGUGCUCGGUGAUUCGGUUGAUCGAGUAAAGCUCCGGCGCUUCGGGAGAGGCCUGCGGCCCAUCAGCUAGUUGGUAGGGUAACGGCCUACCAAGGCAGAGACGGGUAGGGGGCGUGAGAGCGCGGACCCCCACACUGGCACUGCGACACGGGCCAGACUCCUACGGGAGGCAGCAGUAAGGAAUAUUGCGCAAUGGACGAAAGUCAGACGCAGCGACGCCGCGUGGGCGAUGAAGGCCUUCGGGUUGUAAAGCCCUUUUAUGGGGGAAGAGAAAAAGGACGGUACCCCAUGAAUAAGUCCCGGCUAACUACGUGCCAGCAGCCGCGGUAAAACGUAGGGGACAAGCGUUAUCCGGAUUCACUGGGCGUAAAGAGCGUUGAGGCGGUUCCGUAAGUUGGGCGUGAAAGCUCCGGGCUUAACCCGGAGAUGUCGUUCAAUACUGCGGGGCUUGAGGACAGCAGAGGAAGGUGGAAUUCCCGGUGUAGUGGUGAAAUGCGUAGAUAUCGGGAGGAACACCCGUGGCGAAGGCGGCCUUCUGGGCUGUUCCUGACGCUGAAGGCGAAAGCUAGGGGAGCGAACGGGAUUAGAUACCCCGGUAGUCCUAGCUGUAAACGAUGGAUGCUGGGUGUGGGGGGUGUAAAUUCCCUCUGUGCCGAAGCAAACGCGUUAAGCAUCCCGCCUGGGGACUACGGCCGCAAGGCUAAAACUCAAACGAAUUGACGGGGGCCCGCACAAGCAGCGGAGCGUGUGGUUUAAUUCGAUGCUACACGAAGAACCUUACCUGGGUUUGACAUGCACGUGGUAGGGAACCGAAAGGGGACCGACCUUCGGGAGCGUGCACAGGUGCUGCAUGGCUGUCGUCAGCUCGUGCCGUGAGGUGUGGGGUUAAGUACCGUAAAGAGCGCAACCCUUGCCCUUAGUUACAAGUGUCUAAGGGGACUGCCCGGGACAAUUGGGAGGAAGGUGGGGAUGAUGUCAAGUCAGCAUGUCCUUUAUAUCCAGG